Long non-coding RNA from Pollicipes pollicipes, 245 nucleotides. RefSeq lists it as uncharacterized. The transcript has 3 exons. The record is from RefSeq and is a predicted model, not a curated record. Lineage: Eukaryota; Metazoa; Arthropoda; Thecostraca; Pollicipedomorpha; Pollicipedidae.
GCGCGAACGUGCAAGUUGCUGGCGGGGGUCCAAGCGGUUCAAGGGUGCACGAGACCGUCACCAACGACGCAGUCUGCUGCAAUGUGUGGACGAACUGCUUGCACGCUGCAGCCUGACAGAGUGCGCAGCGCCUGCGGCUAUGUCCCAGAAGCGGAGCAGAAGGGAGGCGGCGGCGGGAAAUUCCGCAAAGCUCGCUGGGUGGACCAGCCGGGAUCAAAGGCGUAUCACCCAUCUUAUAAUAUUGC